Molecule: unclassified non-coding RNA, 110 nt
Filed under: fungal sp.
Lineage: Eukaryota; Fungi
Description: partial internal transcribed spacer region
Rfam family: Eukaryotic small subunit ribosomal RNA (bases 1-46)
Source: RNAcentral
AAGUCGUAACAAGGUUUCCGUAGGUGAACCUGCGGAAGGAUCAUUCGCACGAAUAGUCCACAUAUUUAUACUAAAUAUUACAACCGAUGACGAUGGAUGCCUUGGCUCGA